CAUCACAGCCAUGUCACCCUGCAGCCCAAGACCGGUUACUCACUAAAGCUAAGCAGGGCUGAGUGUGGUCAGUACCUGGAUGGGAGACCACUACGGAACACUAGGUUGCUGUUGGAA
This is a non-coding RNA of Danio rerio (zebrafish), 117 nucleotides long. The record is from Rfam. Lineage: Eukaryota; Metazoa; Chordata; Actinopteri; Cypriniformes; Danionidae.